GUUCCUGUAGCGUAAUGGAUAGCACAUUGGACUUCUAAUCCAAAGGUCGUGGAUUCGAAUUUCACCUGGGAUG
Molecule: transfer RNA, 73 nt
Filed under: Trichonephila inaurata madagascariensis
Lineage: Eukaryota; Metazoa; Arthropoda; Arachnida; Araneae; Nephilidae
Rfam family: tRNA
About the family: Transfer RNA (tRNA) molecules are approximately 80 nucleotides in length. Their secondary structure includes four short double-helical elements and three loops (D, anti-codon, and T loops). Further hydrogen bonds mediate the characteristic L-shaped molecular structure. tRNAs have two regions of fundamental functional importance: the anti-codon, which is responsible for specific mRNA codon recognition, and the 3' end, to which the tRNAs corresponding amino acid is attached (by aminoacyl-tRNA synthetases). tRNAs cope with the degeneracy of the genetic code in two manners: having more than one tRNA (with a specific anti-codon) for a particular amino acid; and 'wobble' base-pairing, i.e. permitting non-standard base-pairing at the 3rd anti-codon position.
Source: Rfam by way of RNAcentral